Molecule: long non-coding RNA, 916 nt
Organism: Stegodyphus dumicola
Lineage: Eukaryota; Metazoa; Arthropoda; Arachnida; Araneae; Eresidae
Source: RefSeq, a predicted model, not a curated record
AUUAUUUAAUUUUUAACUAGGUAUUUCUUCAAAAGUGGUUCACCUGAACAUCCAGAUGACAUUCUUAUUAAUGCGUCCGUCCAUGUGCUCCCAGCUGUCACUCCAAAGAUACCAGAGCUUAUUCCAUAUCCCAACACAUCUGAUAGGUUCCUAAUGGUUGGUGGCUUCACUGACGCAUCUGGUGUUGCUGAAGGAUCUAUUAUACCUACUGUAGGCCCUGUGAAGAUGUUACGGAUAUACAUUGAGGAGGAGAUGGAUCACUGGGUGGCUUUAAGUGAGAUUAUUUUAGAAGCAGCGCCCAUGCAAGCUCUCAUGGCGUCCGUCUAUAAUAUCAGCUAUAUAUUCGCUUCCUCUUCACAUAACAAUAUAUCUGGAUCCCCAUAACAUCCAGGAAAGUAUGUCUGUAAAUGUGUGAGGCGCUUUAAGAAGAAAGAGAUGGAACUGACUUUUUUACAGCGCAUGAGGAAUGCUUCAUCAUUUCAAGGGAGUGCCGACAGCUGCCUUCUGCAAAGAUUUCUAUUAAAUGAAUAUGCAUUAUGUAUACUCGCAAGUUUGUUCGGAAUCUGGAAGAAAAAUUGUGCCUCGAAACUUCAAAUGUAUGUAUCAGCCUCUUGCUAGAUGCAAGUAAGAGCAGGGCACUGGAAUAGAACAGCUGUUCAGGCCCCUUUACAGGUAUCUGCCUAUAAUCAUCAGUCACCUCGAAACUUGCAAGACAUCACUAUACCAUCAAACAUAAAUAAACAACUUUUAAAUUUUUCCAAUAUUGGAAGUAAACUGAAGUUCCUGUGAUAAACCACAAGAAAUGUACAUGCCAUGUGACCGAAUAAAUAAAAUAUGUAUCUUAAAAAGGUUGAGUGUUUUUCCUACGCAUGUGAACAAUCCUUUUAUUCCUUUUCUUUUUAUUGUAUGCACAUAA